CUCGGCCAAAGACGGCCUUGAUGGCUAAGCGCAGAGCGGAGGCGGUGGCCUGUCGCGCGCCUUGCCAGCCGCGCUCCUUUCCGCGCGCGCCUCCUUCGAAGCGCUCGCGGAGCGAUCUCGAACGGCGGGAGCCGCGAGACGCAGCUCUCUGGCGGGAUAACGGCGGGGAGAAGAAGCGCAAAUGGACGGUUGUCGCGGAAGGAGGCGACGAGGCGGGCGCCGGCGGCAAGAGACUCGCGGAAGGAACGGCGCGGCGGGAACCUGAGCAACGGCGUCCUGUAGCCGCGGCUAUGGCGACCGAAGUGGCGGCCCUCGCCGGAGGAGAUGCAACCGGCAGUCAGGGAGGACCCGAGAAGCCUGAAGAUGACGUUUGGCACUACAACUCCUUCCAGUUCUGGAAGUUACCAUUACCUACCAUUGAUUUGUCUGAUAUUCAAGAAUUAGAAAAAGGCUCCAUAACAGAAACAAGAUCCUCAAGUAACACCUCACUAUCAGAAAUGGAAACCUGAAGAGUAAUUUGUUGGUAUAAAUUAUGGAGUAUGGUUACUGUUUUGCACUGUUGUUUCUUGAAAGUGUAAGCAGAGUUGAAACUACAAAGGUAUUAAAUAUAUUUUGAAGAAAGGAUAACUUCUAAAUUCUUCUAAAAUGAAGGAGUCGUAUACUAUAGAAUUCAUCAAAGACUUAACUAGAGAAGUUAUCAAUGUAUAAAACCAGUAGCUUGUGAAAUUUAGAGAAUUAAAGGAGUUUACAAAAACUGAUACAUAUGAACAAAAUUGCUUUAGCUCAUUGCCAGUAUAAAUGAAAAGUGUGCAACGUUCUAAAAAGGGGUAUGUGCUAUUAUACUGCCAUGGAAAAGAGUACAAGUUAUAUGUGUGUUUUAGUUAUGGAUAGAAAAGAUUUAACAGCAAAAUAAAAUUGCAAAUCUCUGCAAAACUGAAAUUACUACGGCCAACACUUUCUUCCAAGAAUUUCCAUAGUAAUAAAUUUUGUUGCUGAGAGUAAUUUAAAUCAGUUAUUUUUAUUAUAACUGGUUACUUGGGUAAUGUUAAAAAGUUCUAGCAAUUUGCAGGCAACUUGAAGAAUCAUGAUGGAAGAUGAUAGGAAACCUACAUGAGGGACGAACUUAUGUAGGUUCUGGCUAUAUUUACAGAAAGUGAAACUGGAUUGUACCAGGAGGGAAGUUGCAGUCAGCUUGGAAUGUCUUAAUUUUUAACAGAUUUAGACUGAAACAAAUCUAGAAGAGUCUUAAAGGAUGAAUAAAGUAAAGCUACUACACUUAAAUCUCCUUUCUCUUCCUAUCCAUGAGUCCCCAUGGCUGCCCUAUUUUUAUUUACUCCACCUACUCUGUUUUGCACACCACUACCAUCAUACUCGGAUACAAGUCAGUGUUCCCCAUUACCCCAGUCUUGCUAUACUUUCUCUUGAGUCACCACUUCAGUGCAUAUUCAACUGGUCCACUCCUCCCCCACCUUGUGCUUCCUUUCCCUCCAUUGUGCUCUUUUAGCUGCCUGCUGCCUGUGUUCACGUAGUUUACCUCACAUUUUCCCUUAGGUGCCUGUUGCCAUCAGUGGUUUCCUGAUCAUUCAACUGCCAUCCAACACCUCAACCUAGAACACAUGUUCUUUAUUCACACCAAACAUUGAUUCCAGAUCUGUACACAGACCAAACAUAGGAGUUUUAGUCUGGCAUAGAAUAUUCAGAACUCUCUGUUCCAUGCACUGAAUAUUUUGCAUAACCAUACUGUAUAGUUAAAAACUUGCAUACUAUAAAAGUUUGAUUAUUUUUUAAAUACUGACUUUGCUAUCAUUUUCUUAAUGAUGGUUGUUCGAUAUCUUCAGUAGAAUUCUGAUAAUUGUUAAUUUUUGUUCAGAUUACAAGGCUUUAAAAAAUACACCACAACUUGAGCAUUUUGAAUUACCUUCACUGUCUAAUAAAAUUUCUACUGACUUCUUAAAAACAAAAGAAUUACUGUUUAUACAAUGAAAAUAAUUCACAUAUAUGAUUUCUUAUUUAUAAUGGUAUUUUCACUUUGCCAUUUCAGUAAACUUGCAUGUCGAUAAACAAGCAUAGGCAAUAUUUGUAGACUUUUUUUAAUAAGGUGUGUUGAAAUAAUUUUCCUCGUAGAAAGUAAUAUAUAAUAAGACUUACCUAAUAAGUCGUAUUAUAAGACUUAUAAUGAAGUUUCACUGACUUUCCAUAUUUUUCCAAUACUUAUGCAAUUCAUUUCAUGUUAAAUGAUACUGGUAACUGCAUAUAAGCUAUAAAGUUAGUUUUGCAUGCUUAUUCAAAAAUAAGGCUACUGAACAUUAGUCUUUGUACUAAGAUGCUUAAGUUUUGGUUAGCAAUUGCAGAUUUUUUUCCCUCUUAAAAAUACAAAUGCUGUAUAGCAGCCUCUUUCUAAUUUUGUACUUAAAUUUUGGUUGCUGUAUUUCAUUAGAAUUCACUAUCGAACUCUUCAAUACAGAAGAAAAAGCAAAUAUCGUUUCCUUUUUCCUCCAUGCUUCUCCAUUUAUUUGUUUGCUAUGGAAUGAAAGAAAGUUACUCUUACAAGAUUUCAUCAGCCUAAACAUUCCUGUUCCUUUACCAGCGUUAUUUCAUUAUUUUGAGUCAUGGACUAAAGUCUGAGAAAAUAAGACGAGGAACAAAUUACCAAAAGAAGCUACCUUUGUAAAAGGAACUACUAUCUGAAAAAUGCAUAAGGUUACUUAGAAACACAUUCUUUGAUAGCCAUAAGUUGAUAUUGUAUUUUAAUAAUUAAAAUGUGCAUUGUAAAUCAGAUAUUUGACUUUUUUCUUGCUUUCUGAAGUACAUCCUACUUGAACAAAAAGAUAUAAGGCUCCACUAGCCUAUAUACAAACAACAAGCUUUUUUAAUGAUAAUUGUUCUAUCAAUAUUUUGUUGCAACAACUAUUAAGAAGAAACAAGUCUAUUGAGAUUAGCAAGAAAAAGAUUAGCAAGAAAAAUAGUGAAAAUGCUUUUUGGUUAUCUCAGUGUGAACAAGUCAGAGCCUAUUUUAGUAAAAGAGAUCUACAAUGAACUGUUGGAUAUUUUUCCAUUGGAAAAGUUCUAUUCUGAACUAAGCUGCUACUUAAAACAACAAACAAGAAACAUUCUGAAUGUUAAUCAUUUCUUUAAUGUGGUAUAUAACUUGAAACCAAAUUGUCACAUGUUUUUGAGAAUAAGUUGUAGUCUCUUCAGUUUAAUUGCAGUACAAGUAUGUCACCAGAGUUUUCAGAGUUCAUCUUUUUCCCUGUUCCCAUUAAAGUUUUUAAUUGCAA
Molecule: long non-coding RNA, 3278 nt
Organism: Thamnophis elegans (Western terrestrial garter snake)
Lineage: Eukaryota; Metazoa; Chordata; Lepidosauria; Squamata; Natricidae
Exons: 2
Source: RefSeq, a predicted model, not a curated record